RNAcentral lists this ribosomal RNA (254 nucleotides) under uncultured bacterium. RNAcentral's name for it is "partial 16S ribosomal RNA". It matches the Rfam family "Bacterial small subunit ribosomal RNA", at positions 334 to 585 of the family's 1533-position model. The record is from RNAcentral.
AGGGCCUACGGGACGCAGCAGUGAGGAAUAUUGGUCAAUGGCCGGAAGGCUGAACCAGCCAAGCCGCGUGAAGGACGAAGGUGCCAAGCAUUGUAAACUUCUUUUGUCAAGGGACAAAAUCAGGCUCGAGAGCCUGACCGAGGGUACUUGAAGAAAAAGCAUCGGCUAACUCCGUGCCAGCAGCCGCGGUAAUACGGAGGAUGCGAGCGUUAUCCGGAUUUAUUGGGUUUAAAGGGAGCGUAGGUGGAUUGUUA